This 777-nucleotide ribosomal RNA is filed under the name uncultured Neocallimastigales. Its description in RNAcentral is "partial large subunit ribosomal RNA". It matches the Rfam family "Eukaryotic large subunit ribosomal RNA", at positions 24 to 633 of the family's 3401-position model. The record is from RNAcentral. Lineage: Eukaryota; Fungi; Neocallimastigomycota; Neocallimastigomycetes; Neocallimastigales.
GGUAGUCUCGCACAGAUGCAUAUCAAUAAGCGGAGGAAAAGAAACUAACAAGGAUUCCCCUAGUAACGGCGAGUGAAGCGGGAAGAGCUCAAAUUUGAAAUCUUAAAGGGUUUCCCUUUACGAAUUGUAGUUUAAAGAAGUGUUUUCUGUUGAGGUUUUGGUAAAAGUUCUUUGGAAUAGGACAUCAUAGAGGGUGAGAAUCCCGUAUUUGACCUUUACUUUCAACUUUGUGAUACACUUUCAAAGAGUCGGAUUGUUUGGGAAUGCAGGUCCAAAAUGGGUGGUAAAUUUCAUCUAAAGCUAAAUAUUGGCGAGAGGACCGAUAGCGAACAAGUACCGUGAGGGAAAGAUGAAAAGAACUUUGAAAAGAGAGUUAAACAGUACGUGAAAUUGUCAAAAGGGAAGCGUUUGACACCAGUGUUGUUUUUCUGAAAAUCAAUUAAAGAACUGUUUAUGCUAAGCUGUUUAGACUUUAUCAGCUAUCUGUUUAGUUUUGAGCUUUUCUUUAAUGCACUUUUCAGUUAACAAGUCAACAUCAAUUUCUUUUGCUGUAAAAAAGCUUGAGGAAGGUGGCUUGAGAUUCGUCUUAAGUGUUUAUAGCCUCUUGCCUAUGCAGUCGGAGAGAUUGAGGUCUGCAGCGUAGAUCCUUCGGGGCUAAAUGCAUUUGUGCUAAGUUAUAGCAUUUUAUAGACAACUUGUUGACUAUGAUUUGUCUUGUAGCUUACUCGCUUAUGUUAUUUUACCUACGCUUAGGAUGUUGAAGACUCUACAGAGAUA